Molecule: ribosomal RNA, 467 nt
Filed under: uncultured bacterium
Lineage: Bacteria
Description: partial 16S ribosomal RNA
Rfam family: Bacterial small subunit ribosomal RNA
Source: RNAcentral
GACGAACGCUGGCGGCGUGCUUAACACAUGCAAGUCGAACGGAAAGGCCCUGCUUUUGUGGGGUGCUCGAGUGGCGAACGGGUGAGUAACACGUGAGUAACCUGCCCUUGACUUUGGGAUAACUUCAGGAAACUGGGGCUAAUACCGGAUAGGAGCUCCUGCUGCAUGGUGGGGGUUGGAAAGUUUCGGCGGUUGGGGAUGGACUCGCGGCUUAUCAGCUUGUUGGUGGGGUAGUGGCUUACCAAGGCUUUGACGGGUAGCCGGCCUGAGAGGGUGACCGGCCACAUUGGGACUGGGAUACGGCCCAGACUCCUACGGGAGGCAGCAGUGGGGAAUAUGGCACAAUGGGCGGAAGCCUGAGGCAGCAACGCCGCGUGCGGGAUGACGGCCUUCGGGUUGUAAACCGCUUUCGCCUGUGACGAAGCGUGAGUGACGGUAAUGGGUAAAGAAGCACCGGCUAACUACGU